ACAUGCAGUCGACGCACUCUUCGGAGUGAGUGGCACACGGGUGAGUAACGCGUGGGAACCUACCUAUCGGUUCGGAAUAACGUUCGGAAACGGACGCUAAUACCGGAUACGUCCUUCGGGAGAAAGAUUUAUCGCCGAUUGAUGGGCCCGCGUUGGAUUAGCUAGUUGGUGGGGUAAUGGCCCACCAAGGCGACGAUCCAUAGCUGGUCUAAGAGGAUGAUCAGCCACACUGGGACUGAGACACGGCCCAGACUCCUACGGGAGGCAGCAGUGGGGAAUAUUGGACAAUGGGCGAAAGCCUGAUCCAGCCAUGCCGCGUGAGUGAUGACGGCCUUAGGGUUGUAAAGCUCUUUCGCUAGGGAAGAUAAUGACGGUACCUAGUAAAGAAGCCCCGGCUAACUUCGUGCCAGCAGCCGCGGUAAUACGAAGGGGGCUAGCGUUGUUCGGAAUUACUGGGCGUAAAGCGCGCGUAGGCGGAUCAUUAAGUCAGGGGUGAAAUCCCGGGGCUCAACCUCGGAAUUGCCUCUGAUACUGGUGGUCUUGAGUCCGUGAGAGGUGAGUGGAACUCCGAGUGUAGAGGUGAAAUUCGUACAUAUUCGGAAGAACACCAGUGGCGAAGGCGGCUCACUGGCUCGGUACUGACGCUGAGGUGCGAAAGCGUGUGGAGCAAACACGAUUAUAUACCCUGCUAGUCCACGCCGUAAACGAUGA
Molecule: ribosomal RNA, 711 nt
Filed under: Alishewanella jeotgali
Lineage: Bacteria; Pseudomonadati; Pseudomonadota; Gammaproteobacteria; Alteromonadales; Alteromonadaceae
Description: bacterial SSU rRNA
Rfam family: Bacterial small subunit ribosomal RNA
Source: RNAcentral